This is a long non-coding RNA of Capsicum annuum, 934 nucleotides long. RefSeq lists it as uncharacterized. Lineage: Eukaryota; Viridiplantae; Streptophyta; Magnoliopsida; Solanales; Solanaceae. The transcript has 2 exons. The record is from RefSeq and is a predicted model, not a curated record.
AGAAAAUUUACAAGGAUGUCUUUGAUCAAGUUUUUAAAAUUUAAAGGAUGUUUUAAGUUUAGUAACAUAUUAUAAGGAUGAAAUUAAAGUUUGGGUGAAAUAAUAAGGAUGAUUUUGGUAAAGAAUUCAGAUCUAUUAGCUGCCAACAAUAGAUCUAAGCUCCCAUUAGAUAAAUAUCAAACCUUAAAUCAUCAAAUCUUGAGAGUUAACUAUUAUUAGGGACCUCAAAGCUUUCAACCCAUAUCAAAAUCUCUCUGCCUUUGAAUGAUAAGCAUAAGUUUCAUGCUUCAACAAAAUAGAUAACUCUUGCCUAUUUUCUAGCAGAAAUAUGCUCAAAUACACAUUAUUGCAUCGUUUUUUUGACUCCAUCAUCCCCUGAUCGCCUCUUGCAGAUUGAGUCUCAAUGAGACUGAUAUCAUACACUAAGAACGAAAAAGCAGUUGAGAGAACCAAAAGACCAUGCCCCUACUGAAAUUUCUUUUAAAGCUGAAUAACAAAGGCCCAACUUCGUCCCAAGUCCCAAGACUAUUGUUGUAGUAUCAUGGGUUGUCCUUGGCUGAUUCCAGAAGCCAGACACUACUCUUCUUUUUAGAUGCUGCUGGUGGUUACGGAAGAAAAUACAGCCCGAUGAUGCCACAAGCCCCACGAGCAGUGGCGGAUGUACAUGUAUUCCAGGGUUCAUCCGAACCCUCUUCGUCAGAAAAUUAUACUAUUUUUACAUGGUAAAAAUUUUUUUAUGUAUAAAUAAUGGAGGCUGAAUCCCCUUGACUAGUCCAUAUAUGUACUACUGAACCCCCUCAUUGAAAAUUCUGGAUCCACCCCUGCCCACGAGGUAACCAGCUAUAGCUCCAUAAGUCACACAAAUAGGCCAUUCCUACGUGCAAAUACCAAUUUCCAUGAAUGAGGACAAACCAUUUACUAAAACAUUUUCCAA